This 442-nucleotide ribosomal RNA is filed under the name uncultured bacterium. RNAcentral's name for it is "partial 16S ribosomal RNA". It matches the Rfam family "Bacterial small subunit ribosomal RNA", at positions 339 to 795 of the family's 1533-position model. The record is from RNAcentral.
CCACGGGAGGCAGCAGUGGGGAAUAUUGGGCAAUGGGCGCAAGCCUGACCCAGCAACGCCGCGUGAAGGAAGAAGGCUUUCGGGUUGUAAACUUCUUUUCUCAGGGGCGAAGAAAGUGACGGUACCUGAGGAAUAAGCCACGGCUAACUACGUGCCAGCAGCCGCGGUAAUACGUAGGUGGCAAGCGUUAUCCGGAUUUAUUGGGUGUAAAGGGCGUGUAGGCGGGAGCGCAAGUCAGAUGUGAAAACUCAGGGCUCAACCCUGAGCCUGCAUUUGAAACUGGCAAACUGGAGUGUGUGAGAGGAUAGUGGAAUUCCAGGUGUAGGAGUGAAAUCCGUAGAUAUCUGGAGGAACAUCAGUGGCGAAGGCGACUAUCUGGCACAUAACUGACGCUGAGGAGCGAAAGCGUGGGUAGCAAACAGGAUUAGAUACCCCUGUAGUC